RNAcentral lists this ribosomal RNA (413 nucleotides) under uncultured microorganism. RNAcentral describes it as "bacterial SSU rRNA". It matches the Rfam family "Archaeal small subunit ribosomal RNA", at positions 330 to 745 of the family's 1478-position model. The record is from RNAcentral.
GCGCACCAGGCGAGAAACCUCCGCAAUGCGCGAAAGCGCGACGGGGCCACCCCGAGUGCCGCCCGCUGAGGGCGGCUUUUCCCCGGUGUAGACAGCCGGGGGAAUAAGGGGAGGGCAAGUCUGGUGUCAGCCGCCGCGGUAAUACCAGCUCCCCGAGUGGUGGGGACGAUUAUUGGGCCUAAAGCGUCCGUAGCCGGCCCGGCAAGUCUCCCGUUAAAUCCAGCGAUCUAAUCGCUGGACUGCGGGAGAUACUGUCGGGCUAGGGGGCGGGAGAGGCCGGCGGUAUUCCCGGGGUAGGGGUGAAAUCCUAUAAUCCCGGGAGGACCACCAGUGGCGAAGGCUGCCGGCUGGAACGCGCCCGACGGUGAGGGACGAAAGCCGGGGGAGCGAACCGGAUUAGAUACCCCCGUAGU